UCACAUGUUUAAGAUUCUAGGAGACCAGGAGAAAAAGAAAGUACAAGUGCUGACUUUUGCAUGUGUUUUUCCUAAUCUGCUUUUCCUUGCUUCUGCAUUAAUCAGAGGACAGCAAGAGAAUCACCACCAUUACACAGCAAGCUUGGGAAAACUAUUGAAGAAACAUUCUGAACAUGUUCUGGGAACAGAAGAAAGGAUUCAAACCAAUUCACCAGCUCAUCCUCAUCUGUAGAGUAUUGGCAAAAUAAAUUCAGAGUUUAUCUGGUUGAAGGAGUAAAAUCCUACCUGGGCAUAGAAAAGGAAACAAGUACUGGAAAUACACAAGGGACCUCCUGGGACUAAGGCCUGAUAUUGCUACAACUUCUUCAGCUGGGGAAUACCCAAACCACCAGUGCUAGCCACAUCAGUCUUUGUAGCGGCUGAGAGUUUAAUCUAUUCCAUCUGAAAUGAGCCCUGCGGGUGUUGCUGAAGAGAGUUAAAACACACUGCAUCAGCAGCUGCACAGCCAGAAAACUGUAAGAACCAGAGGCCUUGUCUGAAGCUUGACAAAGGUGCCAAGGAUGAAGGAGACUGAGAAUUUUCAUGUUUGUUUCCUUCCGCUCACUGGUAUGCUUCUGUUCCUCCAAUUGAUAGAAGUGAGGAAG
Felis catus (domestic cat) is the source of this 644-nucleotide long non-coding RNA. RefSeq lists it as uncharacterized. Lineage: Eukaryota; Metazoa; Chordata; Mammalia; Carnivora; Felidae. The transcript is spliced from 3 exons. The record is from RefSeq and is a predicted model, not a curated record.